GAUGAACGCUGGCGGCGUGCCUAAUACAUGCAAGUCGAGCGAACGGACGAGAAGCUUGCUUCUCUGAUGUUAGCGGCGGACGGGUGAGUAACACGUGGAUAACCUACCUAUAAGACUGGGAUAACUUCGGGAAACCGGAGCUAAUACCGGAUAAUAUUUUGAACCGCAUGGUUCAAAAGUGAAAGACGGUCUUGCUGUCACUUAUAGAUGGAUCCGCGCUGCAUUAGCUAGUUGGUAAGGUAACGGCUUACCAAGGCAACGAUGCAUAGCCGACCUGAGAGGGUGAUCGGCCACACUGGAACUGAGACACGGUCCAGACUCCUACGGGAGGCAGCAGUAGGGAAUCUUCCGCAAUGGGCGAAAGCCUGACGGAGCAACGCCGCGUGAGUGAUGAAGGUCUUCGGAUCGUAAAACUCUGUUAUUAGGGAAGAACAUGUGUGUAAGUAACUGUGCACAUCUUGACGGUACCUAAUCAGAAGGCCACGGCUAACUACGUG
RNAcentral lists this ribosomal RNA (497 nucleotides) under uncultured bacterium. RNAcentral's name for it is "partial 16S ribosomal RNA". It matches the Rfam family "Bacterial small subunit ribosomal RNA", at positions 28 to 507 of the family's 1533-position model. The record is from RNAcentral.